UGCAAAUUUCCAUUUUGAUAUGGAUUCCUUACAGAGUCCUAUUGGGUGAAGAAGGAUUGAAAGUCAGUUUUUGAUACUCUGAAAAUAAUGUAACUGAUAAGAAAAAAAUCCAACUUCAAACGAUAGAUUUGAGAAAAAAUAGAACAAAAUAGUAUUAACUAUUUAUGUAUAAAGCAGCCACUUCAUUUUUUAAAAAAGCUUAUUUUGCAUAGAAGAUGGCUGUGUAAAGUAAUUUUUAAAGUGCAGCCUGAAGGGUGCACUAUAUUAAUCUCUCAGGGAGAAAACUGUGGCUCAGCUAGGAAUUUGAUUAUAUACAUUAGCAGUUGGGACAUUUUUAUGUUCCUCUCAGUCUCUUUCAGCCAAGCAUUUGCUGAAUUCCACCUCUUAUGCCGUAGCUUUGUUUAACAGAACCCGUAAUCUCCUAGCAGUCUUUGUUUCUCACAUCUCGGUUCAAGCAGCAGCGCACAAAGCAGCUUGGAAUCAGCAGAAUGGCUGUCAGGGGAUCAGGGUGCUGAGCUGGUGAGGCUGUGAGGAGAGGUGGAAGGAUGAAGAGUAACAUCAACUGAUCUCCUGAUUGUGUGUGACACAUGACAGCCAUGCUUAAGUUCUUGCCUCCUUGAAACAUGGCAGAUUUUUGGCUAAUAGUGUGAGAAAGUUAUACAUUGUGAAUAGCAUUUGUGUGGUCAUUGUGUGAAGUGCUGGUUGGUGGUGCCAACAGAUUGACUGGUGGGCACCAGGAUAGCGAGCUGCACCAUGAUUCCUGGGCCUUAAGUCUGUGCUGCAAUGCACUUCUCUGUUAGGAUAAUCCUGCUAUUGCUUUAGGUGACAGGAAGGUCAGCCUCUCCAGUUACAGCCAGCUCCAUCAUAGUCGUAUCUACAGACAUAGAAAACAUGAUGAAUGGUUCGUGAUUCAUUCUUUGGCUUACAGGGUCUUUGACCUGAAAUGGCGUGUUAUGCAAAGGGAAGAAGCAUUUUGUCCUGUCAUAAAAACUGAAAGUUUUCUCAGUGUAGCAGUAAAAAUGAUUAAGAAUAUGAUGAAGGAAGCUGUAAUCUCUGUGGAAAGAGAGUGAUUUAACUGCGAUUCUUCAGUAAGGAUGUAGUUGAAACAGCAGCUUGAGAACUUUCUCAGCUUCUCUAUUAGAUUGUAUAAAAUGGGUAUAUUACUGUAGUCUCUAGUUUUGUGAUUAGUUUCUCAUUGCAGUUUGGCAGGAACUCUGGAGAAAUUCUAGGAGGUGACUGCUUUGUAAAGCACCACAGAGCCAUCCUCAAAAAUAUUGUAAAAGAAGGGCUUGCCUUAACAAAAAGCUGCUACUUCUUUUCAGUUCGUGCUAUUGUAAGAAUCAACAAGUUGAUUGAACAAGUUGAAUGGUUGGACUGGGUGAUCAUAUGGGUCUUUUCCAACCUUGGUGAUUCUAUGAUUCUGUUUGCUCUAAAGACUUUGCUUUAAGAAACUGUCAUGAUGCAAACAUAACAAUGCAUGUGUUGGCUGCCUCCGUGUGCUACUUCAAGACAGCAAAACAAGCAUUCUGCAUUCUUUGCCAUAGCAGUGGAAAAUAAGCAUCUGACUAUCUGCUUCUUCAGAAAAUAUAAAAUGCAACUUCUGAAAGAAUCUCUACAUACCAAAGCAUUACUUUGUCAGAGAAAUAAUACUUUAUCUAAGAAAAAAGAAUAAAAAACUUAAUAAUCACGGUGUACAGCACUGACAUCUGGUUUAAAGUGUGUUAAAAGCCAACAACUCAAUGUCAGUUUGGUCUGACUUUACGGUAUUACUUGCUUGAUUAUGGCUCUCACUGGGGGAGCAGAGCAUUUUGAUAUCAUCCAAAGCCCCUGAGAACAAUUCAAAGCAGCUGGUAUUCCAUAUAUUACAUAAUUACGAAGCACACAGCACAGUUUGGAAUACUGAAGAGACACCGGGGACCCACUUCUCAAAAUAUUUACAGCCUUUUAUUCUUCUCUAAACAAUCAUUUGCAUAGCAAAAGUGAUAUACAGCGCACCAGCAUGCAGGUUUACUUUAUUUUUGCUUUCUCAAACUUCUCUGGAAGUGGCUGUGUUUAGCAGAGAGUAGGCAGAAGCGAAAUCCAGCCGUCGCCGAUAAAGGCUGUAACGUUGCCAGAAAAAGCUUUGUAUUUACUCUGUCAAUGCAAGAUGGGAAUACUUUCAAAGAAAACCUGAAAGCUGUAUAGAAGCUCUCUUGCCUGUCUUAUGAACGCAUAGCAUGGCACAUAUCUCCUUUGGAAGCAGGGUCACUAGGAACCAGGGGUUGGAAGUGAUCAUGAUGGUGUCGUUGCUGUCUAAAUGAGAUGCAGCGGCUACAUCUUGUUAAGAGUUUUGUGUGAGCGUGCAUUGAUGUGUAUGUGUGUCUUUGUUUUGAAUAAGUUAUUUUUGGUAGUGAGAUCAGCAGAAUUGCUGUGACUGUAUUUUAUCUAAACCGAUUCAAAACCAUGGAAGUUAUAUGCCAGGAAGAAGGGAAAAAGAAAAGAAAAAUCUGGUGGAGUUUCUUUCAUUAUGCAUUUGCAUAAGAGAAAUUAUAGAUGAAGUGAUAAAAGUAAUAGGUGAAUAGUUAACAUUAACAGUCUAUUUUCUCCAUGCUGUAUCAGUAAAAUAUAUGCUCUUCUUGCAUACACACAACUGUUGAACUGCAGACUUCUAUCUGAUCUUAGCACCCACCUCUUACCAUCAUGCCAUGUAUAAAGUGGAUUGUAGAAUGUAAAUGAAAUUCUUUAAAGCACCAAAUUCUUCUCAAGUUUCCUAUUAUGAAAUUAAUGCUUGUCAAAUUUUAGUUUGAAGUGAUCACAAACAAAAAUUUUAGAUAAUAGACAAAUGAAUUUUUAAAGGCCUUUAUGCUGUGUAAUAUAGAUUUUCUCCUUUUGUUUUGAUUUCAAUUAAGAGGCCUUUGAAAGCUAUGUUGUGUGUAGGCCUAAACCCCAAAUUCUUUUUCUCUUUUAUCACAGAGCUUCAAAUCUGUUUUAAACCAAACUUUUACAGCUUAUAAAAUUGUUUUGGGGAUGAACAAAUUAAUAGCUGAAAGUGAGCAUGGGCAAAUUAUUAGAUGCACUACGGGGAGCCUGAUAUUUACAUAUUGUCCAGGAUCUGAAUGGUUGGUAUGAACAGAUAUGAUUACUUGUAAAUCUCUGCACCCCUGCAGGGGGUGUUAUCAUUCAAUUUCCACACAGCAAGGGUUACUGAAACUAAUUUUUGGUGCCUGUUUGCUUCCCACUUUAAAGAUGUUUUAAUACAUUGCAUAAUUUGAACCAAAAGUGAAGGCAUUGUAAGUUCAGAAUCAAAAUGAAAAAUAUCAUGGCAGUCUGAAUAGACCAUUGUAACUGGUUACUGAACAUGGUGACACAGUGUGACAGGUACCACUGUGUAGUUAAACCUGCAAACUGCAAGCUUUACUGAAUUUCUAACUGUUCUUUUGCAGUCUGGUCCACUGCAGAAUUUGACUGUGUGCUGAUAGGUUUCACAACCAUCUUUUUCAAAUCGUGAGAGAGCAGAAAGAAAGGAUGGUAAUGUCAUAUAGAACAAAGAAACAAGCGCCUUCACCAUGUAGUGUCAUGUUAGAUACCUAACUAUAUCUUAUCAGAUCACUGGAUAUUCCAUUUCACUAUUUUUUAACUUAGGCUUAUCACCAGAGUGCCUUCCACAGGAAAUGCCAGAAAAAAAAGAAAUGUUCUUACACCUGCUGGACAGCUAGAGACAAAGUUGUCUUACUUUCUCCAGGAAAACUAUUGAUUAUGUUUUGAUGUAUCCUGUCUCUGUAACAGCUGCAGGAAUGCUCAGACAGGAGACCAUACCAUCAACUGUUCAUUUCUAAUUCAUCUCAUCUUCUGGUUAACAUUCCUUGUGAUUCUGCCUGCUUUGCCUUGCAAGCGUUCCUCUGCAGAGACAACAUUGUGAAGGAAAAAGAGGUGAGCUGAAGGACAAAUGAGAUUAAUUUAUGACAUAGGUAAUCAAGGAGCCACAAAGGAAAACACUUAGAUCAACCUUGUACUUACAAACAAGGAAUAUUUGGUUGGGGAUUUUGAGGCUUGGAGAAGUCUUGGCUGUAUUUACCAUGAAAUGAAGAAGUUCAGCAUCCUGAAAGGAGGUAAUGAUCAAAAGCAAGAUUACAGUGCUGAGUUUCUGAACAGCCUUUGGCCUGUUGAUGAACCUGCUUGGAAGGAUCCCAUGGGACAUGGCCGCAGAGAGAACAGCCAGAUGAGCUGGUUAAUUUUCAGCAAUCUCCAAGCUCCACAACUGUCCAUCUUGAAAUACGGGAAUUCAAUCAAGUAAAGCCAGUAAGAGGCUCGUAGGAUGAACGAGCUGGUUCUGACAAAACUCAGGCAUAAAAAAGAAGUAGAAAAGAGGUGGAAGCAGAGGGUGACUCAGAAGGAGCAUAAGGACACUAUCCAAGAACAUAGGAACGUGAUAAGGAAAACCAAAGUCAUUAAAAAACAAAAAUAAUAAUAAAAGACCCCACAAACAACAACAAAAAACCCUAUAAACAAAAUAGAUAUGAAUAUAAAGUAAAGGCUUAGAUCUUGGAUCUUACUGAUGGAGAAUUUCUAAUCAGAAAUGGAUCUCUAUAUCCUGAAACCAGUUAUCCUAAUAAUCGCCACAAAGCAGAAAAGGAAAUCUAGAUUAUUUCUUUUUUAAUCAUGUCUUUCCAGUUUAUCAUUACUAGGCUUUUCUCAGUGCAAUGCUCUGUGUUCCUAAGGGCAGCAAAGGUUUAGCCAUGCACUCAAUUCAAGUGCAAGCUUCCAAUGAAAGGUAUCUAAUCUUUCAACCAAAAUAAGUCCUUUUGCAUUCUGACAUCUUUUAGGACACCAUUUACUUUGCUGGUUACCCACUAUUGUAGUGGUGAAAACUACACAGUUCUAUUUUGUGUGAUGCUGUGAAUUUUAGAUGAGACUUGAAAGCAGUCUGCAGUCAUGACUGAAAUACUCCUGCAGUUUUGAUAAUUUAUUCAGAAAUAGCAGAAACCUCUCUCACAGUGAGUUUGCUGAACUCCCAAUAAUACCAUUCCCCCUUCUCAUCUGCACUGGACAAGGGGGAAUGGUUUUAAACUGAGACAGGGGAGGUUUAGAUUAGAUAUUAGGAGGAAGUUUUUCACACAGAGGGUGGUGACACACUAGAACAGGUUGCCCAAGGAGGCUGUGGAUGCCCCCAUCCCUGGAGGCAUUCAAGUCCAGGCUGGAUGUGGCUCUGGGCAGCCUAGUCUGGUGGUUGGUGACCCUGCUCAUAGCAGGGGGGGGUUGAAACGUGAUGAUCAUUGUGGUCCCUUUCAACCCAGGCCAUUCUGUGAUUCUGUGUGAUUCUGUGAAUAGCGUUCCCGGUCUAUAACAUAUACCUGGGAAAUGCCCCUGCAAAGAUGGGUGACUAUGUCCAUCUGCUGUCCCUACAGAAAGAGAAUUAUCAACAUAAUUAUAUGAUGAGGUUCAUAUUCUUUCGGUACUGCCUGUUUUAACACUGUUCUAACUUUUUCAAAAGCCAUACAUUGAGGAAUCCUACUAUAUGUGUUUUUUAACAUAAAAACAUCCUUUGAGUUUGUAUUUUGAUGUUGAAUUUAGAACACUUCAGAGGCAAAAGCUUGGAGACUUCAGCUGUGUACUCUUCUCUAUAUAGUGUCUGCUCAUAUUGAUAGUAUCAAAUCUGAUUAAAUGAAUUCCUCUGGAGCCUCUAAGAAAAAUCCAUAAAUGAACUACAAAUAAAACAGCAAAAGUAGACCUACGUGGAUUUCAGAAUUGUUGCCAGAGCACAACACCUGUUAAGGAAACUCCAUUAAUUGCUACUAAUAAAAUUGAUCCCUCAAUGGCUGCACAGAGCUCUCUAGCCAAACAGGGGAUCCUUCUACACUGCAACUACAAAGGAAAUUAUGAGCUAAACAUCCAACUUCCUGAAUGACUCUGGUCUGCCCAUCAGACACAUACAGGCUCAGCUUUUCACCCUGACACUUCAAACGUGUGCAUGCCAAUGAAAAGGUGAUGUUUGACAAGAGUUAAAUUUAAAACAGAUUUUUGUUCCCUUCUCACGUAGGUUUUGCUCAGCAGUUAGCGUAGAUUUCAAGUAGACAGUUUUUCUGAUUGUUACCACUCCAAAAUACUGUUCCCUUAUAUUCUGACAUCUUUUAGAACAUCUCUUACCACUUCAGGCACUUUAAUAGUGACUGCUGGUUCCAUCUUAUGUGAUUAUUAUGUUGCUUAUGGAAACUGGAAACAACAAUGGUAACUGGAAGCCUGUCGACCUCGAUAUAGAUAGAUAUCAAGACUGAGUGAAAAUUCCAUUACUUGCACAUGUGUAUUUUUCUACCCACUAACCUAAAAUAUUCUACAAUCUGUUCUGCCUUUGAAUUUGCAUCUGAAACGGCAGCUGCAGUGAAAGGUACCCAUAGUCCUCUUCAAUGACAUAGGCAGAGAGGAGAACUGCAUGUAGAACAGACUGUAUACAUCUCCAAACUUAUAUAAGAGUGUAACUGCUUUUUUCUUUGUUCAUUUUAAAAGUAUCUUUUAGCUAGCAAAUUGAAGAGAAUCCAUGUGCUGAAAUUACACCAUUUUGUGAUAGUUAAUAAUUACAUUCAAUAUUAUUAUUAAUAAAGUUCAACAAAAGGAGUGUCGUGGAAGAGCAAUAAUAUCCCUUUUUGACAGCUCAAACAUGAAGUAAGCAUUAUUCUAUUGAAUAAGUGCUGUAUCCUGAUAUGAUUAGCUUUAAUUCAUUUUGAAAAGACUUCUUACCUGUUAUGAGAGAGUUGGCUUUUCACAUGUGCUUCAAUUUCUACUACUGGCUUUAAUAAAUACGUUUAACUGGUACUAAUUUUUCUUUGCAAAAACACGCAUAGUAACUUUUGUAAUUUGAAUUACCUUAUUUCUUAACUCUGCAAAGCUGCACUUUAAGAGUCCAGUGCAUCUUGGAACAGGCAAAGAGCCUCUACUGUAAAUAACUCAUCUUGGGAUAUUCAAGGUGGUUAACAGAGUUUAUGUUCUUUUGAACAUUAUUCGUGCAAAUGUUUAAAUAUUGAUCUGUAUGCCAUUGAUACAAAUCAUAACGGAGCCCUUAUUUGCUGAAAGGUUCCAAGAAACAUCACUUUAAAGUGAUCCUUAAGCCAGCCAGUGGAAAGUAAUAUCUUUUUACAAUUCAUGGCAGCUAGCAUUUUGCUACUUGAAAAAAGAAAAUAAAAAUCUAAAGCUUAAUGAAGCAAAUGCAUCAAUUAGGUAAUUAGCUUAAAAAGCAAAAGGGAAUUUUGUGUCACUUUUACUUACUAAACCUCAGCAUGUCUUGUUAAUUUACACAUUAGAUUUUUCUCAUAAAGAGAUUAAUAGACUGUGUGCUUGUAACUGUAUUUAUGUAGUGUAUGGGAACUGUUGAGUCAGGGCCUGAACCACUGAAUGAACACCAGCGGAAAGGACCCGGUCAGCCCUGGGAGCACAGGUGAAGGCAUCUGUUUGACCAGCAGGGGUGGAGCCUGGCUGCACCUCUCUUAGACCUCAUUUAAGGGCUGACUGCCACUGGGGAAGGAUUUCUGGUUGGAGAUCCUUCUCAUGCGGAGUUUUCCCUGUGAGCCUAGAUCUGCGUAGGUGAGUGAGCACCUUUCCUGUUGCUUGUAAUACCGUUCCAUUUGUGCUACCCUCUUUGCUACUAUGCUCCUUUAUCGCCCUUCUAUUGCAUUGACCUUUCUGAUUGUUACAUGUAGGUAGUAAAAAUAACGGUCAUAGAAAAGGAAAUUUGUAAAACCAAAGUAUGAUGCCUACUAUGGAAGAGUAGUUUGCCCUAAAGUAGGUGUCAACAUAUAUAACGCUACAACUAUAUACAACUAUAACAUUAUAGAAUAACGCAGAGGGAGGAUAUCGUGUCUUGGAUGUUGUAUUACAGUAUCAGUAAUUAUCCUUACAGUAAGAGACUUCAGUUUCUCUUUGUUCAAAUGUGAUUCCUUCUGCUAGGGGAGCAGAGUCUUCUAUUUUUCUCUACUUCUGCUUUACAGGCUCCAAAUAUGAUUGCCCUCUUAUGGCUUAUCUUUGUUUUCUUGAACGGAUGUGGCUGUACAUCCUCACUAUUGUACUGCAAAUGCCAGAUGAGACAAAUAAAGGAAAAGGAUUCUUGCAACAAUGUCCUCAUUUGUACUUUGUCAUGAACUGAUUUAAAACAGCUAGUAACCCAUAACUUUUUUUUUUAAAUAGCAUGUAAAACCUGCCUUUUCUCCCUUGAAUUACUUCUACUGUAUUUCUGACGAGUGACAGCUAUUCUUUUUAUAUACACAAUAUUUUUCAGCCUCGCUGUUCUAAGAAACUUGUGAAAGGCUACAGUAGAAAUGAAAUAGUGAACCUUUUCCAGUUUUGUCUGUUUUAUAGUACUAAUAUGCACUCAGUGAAGGCCCAAGUAAAGUAUAACAGUUGUCUUAAAAAUGAAAUUUCUGAGAAAUGUUGCAUAUCUUCGUACCGUGGUUUUCAGUUUUGGGUUUGUUUUUGUGUUUUGUUUUUUUUUUUGGUUUUUUUUUUGCAGGCCUCUUUGGUCACUAAGUGUCCUUAAAUCUUAAGUUCCCUUACGUGAGGUUUUUAAAGCCAUGUACUGUAUCAGUGCUGAUACAGUUCUUGAUGUUCUCAUCACAAACUUCUAGUAGGUGAUACUUUCAUCAUUUCUGCUCUACCAUUAUUGCUUUCUCACGUUGGGAAAUAUCCAAGGAAGAUAUUCCAGCUAGUCUGAACUCUGACCUUGAAUUCUGAGAUCUUGUCCUUGUUUACAACACCUAGUCCUGGAGACUGAUUGGCAACUGACUGUCCUUUGAAAUCAUGGAAGAUUUUCCUUAUUUUUCUAGGAAUGGAUUUGUAGUGACCCACCUAAUUCUUCAAGGAUCUUUGGAAAUUAAUUCUUGAUUCGUUUGGCUAUUGACUGUACAGCUCUUUUUUCCAUUUUGCUAUUAGCCUUUAUCUUUAAGUAAAUUAAAUUGCGUUUAACUGGAUUUUGUGGGUAUCUUGCUUAAAGGUACUUGUAAGGGCUUUUAAAACUCAAUUUGUAACUAUUCUAUACAUCUUAACUGUAACUCAGGACUGUAAAUUCCUUAGAUUGACCACGAAACCUGACUUGUAACCAGAGAGGAGAAGCUUACCGUCAGGCUGUUUUGUGAACUAGCUUUUUGUAGGUAAGCUGUCAACCUGCUAGGUUUGGGAUGUAUCUGUAUGUCAACUACUUGCUAGCUCGGCUUCUGUGCUUCAGCAGAAUAGAGAUGCAGGAAUUUACUUGCCCGAUUCAAGUGAACUCCUAUAACCUAGUUACAACCUAGUUGCAGCAAAAAAAUUUACGUUAAAUCCUUGUGAAAUAAACUAGCAUGCCUCAAAAAUCAGUUUGUACCUCCACAUAUAGUGAGACAGUGUGCUUGAACUAAGGUUACUCAGAGGUAAUAGGUCUGUUUCUGUUCUUCGUUUUACAUUUGCUUUCUCAUCUCCCUCCUGUGCUUGCUACCCUGGCUCACCUUGAGUCCAGAAGCUCUCGCAUGUUCUGACAGACAGCUGGUGUCCCUGUAUGCCCACUGUUUGGCUUUAUUUCCACUUUGGAGUGUCUCUUUGCUACACCUGCCUUUAUCCAUAUUUCCAAUCUGUGUAGGCCAACAGGCACAAAAACAACAGGAAUAUGAGCAAAAAUGUUCAAUUAAGUUUUUGUUAUUGUUGUUUUCCUUUUUCAUUUCUCUUUACUUGUGCCAGGUUGGCUUAGCUUGCAAUCCUACUUAAGCUAGCAAUGGCUUUUUAUCUCAGCAGUGUUGCUGAGGAUGCCCAAUUUCUUGCGAUUGCCAUUGGACUGCCAGCUGCCCUGGACCAUCUCAGUAGUUGUGUCUGUCAGCACUAAAGGACAAGGGCAGCAUUCUUUUGCACAGCUAUAAAACUACUUUGGCAAAGCUGCAAGCAUUGCAGAACAUUAUUGUAGUAGGAUGCAUAAUGCCAUUUCAAUCUUCCACAGUACUGAUACUAAAAAGUAAGAAUCAUGAUACUGCAUAAUAUAUUCUACUCUAAAGCUAUUUAGGUUACAAUUUAAGAGUCUGAGCAUGUCUCUUUCCUCACUAACUCUGUUGUCCAAAUAGACUGGGUUUUACUUUGGAAAUGAGGACAUUUCUUUGGAGACUUUGCCUGACAUACCAGCUCCUUUGCUUUGGAAUCUGAGGCCUCUCUCCCCCUAGUCAGGGUUCCCUAGCUUCCUUUCGGAUUCCUCCAGAAGCUCCUGACCCUGCACUUGAUAUUUUGCUGGUAAAAGUCCCUCUUGUUAGUUCACUGGCAAGCACAGGCCAUGCUUGCAGCAUUGUCCUCACGUUUGGGCCAGACAAGGAUAAGUUUGAUAUAACAAAAGGUUAUAUCAAAUAUAUAUAUAGGCUUGUUAAAGGGCCAUGCCAUAUGUGGCAUUAUAGAAUGAGGCACAAGUCUGAUACCAGCACUACAACAGGAAUACGUAGUAUCUUUGAUAAUACUAGCAAGUUUUAGUCUGUUUCUGAGAGGCUCCAAGCAGUCAAGUUCAUUCUUAACCCCUUGUCUAUUACGUAUCUGCUCCUUAUCUACCCAAGAUAACAGGUAUUCUUGAAUGUGGAAGUAUUUCAGGGAAAGAGGAUAUUAGAGGAGUUCAUCAAGUGAACAAUCUUAUUUAAUAUUCUCCUUAAUGACCUUGACUCACAAAAGAAAUUUGCUGAUAAAGCAGAGAAGGGGUCAAUCUCUAUGCAGAGGAGGAGUUGAAUAGCAAGUAGGAUGAACUAGGUAAUAUUGAGAGCCGUAAAGAAUAAAGAGAUGAAUUUUAAUAUUACAAAAGACAAAGAUGUGCACUGGAAGCAAAUAAUAAUUUCUGCUAUAUUCUGAGUUUCAUCAGUUAGAAUAAAAAGACUUAGGUGCAUUAGACCUUCAUAGUAUGUUUAUGACAUACUGAUGAGAUUUGACAAUGCAAAAAAUGAUAGUAAGAGACAUGUGCUAAGGUAUUUCUAGUCCUUGUAAAGAGCUGUAUCAACUACUUAAAAUGUUAAUGAAGUUCCCUCCACAAUGCCAUGGACAUGUUUGCCAUCAAGAAGGAUGAGAAUAAUGUUGAAAUCGCUGCAAAUAAGGAAUCCUAGGAUUAUUGCAGGUUGGCAGGUAAAGAACACGUUUGUUCAAGAGGAAAUACAUGUCAGCCAGUUUUGUUUACCUCUUGCCUAGCAAAUUUCUGCAGGUAUUGAGACAACAACUGCCACAGCUUUCCAUUUGGAAUAGCAAAUUUAACCAUAUUAGAGAUUACUCUUGGUAAGGUUAUAAACAGGAUUGUGUGUUGCUUGUCUGGUAUUGCUGGAGACUAGAUUAGGUGACACGCAAUUGCUUUGAGUAACAUUUUUUUUUUCCCUUUAAAGAGAGCUCUUAAGCUUCCAAAAAAUGAAAUAGAACUUCAAAAUUCACAUCAGAGCAAAGCAUUCUCACUAGUAGUUAAUCUCUAAAAAAGAGGUAGUGAAGGAUAGAGCUCUGAAUCUCUAUUUACAGAAAUAUUUACAUUUUACAUAAGGGAUUCGGAGGGUCUGUGUUUAGAAUCUGGGACUCUCUGGUCCAGAGUCAAAAACAUUUCUGUCCUUGAGUUUCACAGUAUUUCAUUUCACCCUGAAUCAUGGCCUUUGGUGUUAGUUUUUUUUAUCUGCACUGUAUUUCUGGAUUGUGACAGGAAAUUCAUAAGAAAUUUGUUGAUAACGUGUGUAGUGAUGGAUUAUGAAGACACUUUUAAGCUUUCUUAUCAUUUUGUCCAGAGAGGUUCCUUUAUUUCCAGCCCAAAUUUGGUUAUUGUAAGAAAAAAAAAAAAAAAAAAAUUCCUUGCUUUUUAUUUAGAUGUCAGAUGUUACUGUUGCUUUUUUUUUUUUCUGAAAAAUUUCCUAAGUAUUUUCUCUAAUUAUUUCUUGGUGACAAGACAAAAUUCUGGUUCCUUUCUAAGUUCUCAUUAAAAAUCAUUCUAAAGAUCUCAGAAAACAGGCAUGUAAUUAUUACAAGUGCUUCCAACUGAACAAAAGAAGAUCAGCGGUUCUACCAGAUCUAGUGGGAUUCCUGGGACUGAGAAGAGAGUCCUUAGACGGUUCACAGAAAGUUACCGAAUGAUCACCUAUCAGAGUUUUACCAGAUUGCAUAAUCCUCAAGGAGUUUUCCUUCAAACUUGUAGUCAUUUGUAUCUUAGCUUCAGGACAGGAUAGCAAGUGGAGGAGUUUGCCUUUCAGACAAUAAGCAUCAUUGUACAGCUUUAAGAAAAAACCCAUCUGUGCACUCAUUAAAGAACUUGACCUUUAUUGUGCUCCUGAAUGGACAAGAUUCAAAACUCUUUUGACCGAUAUAUUAGUGUUGCUGUACUGUUAAUUAUACCUGUAUCUUCUCUUUCUGAAGGUUUGGGUUCCCAGAGUAUUUGAAUUUUUCCAAAUUCUUAAAUUAUGACUCCAAGUAUACAAUUCCAGCAGAAAGAUAUUGUGCUUAAUGUUUUUUUUAUUAUUAUUUUUCACUGAACCCUUAAAACUUUGAGCCCAGAGUUGCUAUGUAUUGAUAGCUGAUGCAUCUGGAAUCCUUAUGUGCACAUUUAUUUUCUUUAAAUGUUGUGGUUCUCAGGACAGAACCAGGAUUUUCUACUCUCUGAAAAGAUUUGUUGGAGUUAAUAAAUAAAUAACCUUCUAUCUGUCUCUGAUUUAAGAUUUUUAUAAAUAAGUGAACCAGCUGACUGCAACUUUGGUUGACACAGCCAAAUUAAUUCAGUUGUUAUCAGUGAAAAAUAAGCUGUUUAUGUUUGGUAGGUUACAUUAACUAUCGUCUGCUACUUCCAACCUAUGUCCAUAAAACAUUUCUGAGUGCAUGUGAUAUUUUUUUUUUUAAUGGUUAGGUUGCUCACUUAAUGCAUGUGGCGGCUUCUUCAGAAAAGAGCAAUUUUUAAUUAUUUUGAUUAGCUACUCAGCUUCCAUGUUUUCAGUGUGCUUAUUAACUUGGCAUCUUAAAAAUGGAAGAAAAGAAGAAGAAAAUGUAUCCUUACAAUCCCAAUCAGCCUGCCUCUGCCCUCCCAAACUUUCUCCAGAGUUCUUCCUCUCCUCCAGCAUUUGCUAUCUCCUCCACUGCUGUGACUGGCUUUGAGUUCUGGACAUAUUGCUUGCCUUCUGAUUUCUGUUGUUCAAAAUGGGCAAAAGAUUGUUUCUACCUCUACUUUCAGAAUAAAAGAGAUGCAUAUAUGAGCCUUACUCUUCUGUCCAGGCGGUGUAUAGGAAUUCUACUUCCUUCAACUUUUCAAAAGGACGGAUAACAGCAGGACAGGGGGAAAUGAUUUUAAGCUGAAGAAGGGAAGAUUUUGAUCGGAUGUCAGGUGGAAGUUCUUCACUAUAAGAGUGGUGAGGUGCUGAAACAGGCUGCCCAGAGAGGUUGUGGAUGCCUCGUCCCUGGAGGUGUUCAAGGCCAGGCUGGAUAGGGCCCUGGGCAGCCUGGGCUAGUAUUAAACGUGGAGCUUGAUGGCCCUGCAUGCAGCAGGGGGUUGGAGCUUCAUGAUGCUUGAGGUCCCUUCCAACCCAGGCCAUUCUAUGAUUUUUCAAAAGCAUGGUUUAAACAUGCUUUUAAAAGUUCAAAGCAGAGAGAGGAAAAGAAGGAACAGAGAUUGCAUAAGGCUCUAACAAACAAAAGGAAAAAAAAAAAAAAACACGUAUUUUUCCCUCAUUUUGUAUUUCUUACUCCAAGAAGUGUGGCUUGACCGUGUAUUUAUGCACUUAAUCUCUACACAUACAUCUACAUAUAGCAUUUAAAGAGCCUUUAUAGCAUAUUCAUGCCAGUGAAGGAAAUACCUUUUAGUUGCUCAGCAUGCUUUUUUUCUUAACAAGAGGUUAUCUAUAAUGGUUUGUUAAAUGACUAAGAAAAAAAUUCUCCAGAUAUAUUAGUCAAUUUUCUAACUGGGAAAAAAGAUGAACAUUAAAUGGGUCCUAUGGCAAGAUCUGCUUAGCAGGACAUAAGAUGUAAAUCACUUUCUCUUCUUCGGUUUAAGAGGACAGUUGAUAAUUUUUGUUGACCCAAAUUUAGGAUUCUUCAACACAAAGCUUGAGAUAUGAAAGGCUGCAGAAGAAUUCUCUGAAGUAGUUUAGAGAGAACGGUGUCAAUGGUGGGAUGGCUAGAGAUAUUGUUCUUGGAAACAUCUGCUUUGUCAGUGGGAGUAAGAAGGACUUUGUUGAAAAACAGAAGUACUGUCUGGCAGUUUGGUUUUAAUAAACAUUUACUCUUUGUUAGAUCUUCCCCAGGGCUGCUCUAGAUUAGCCUGUAUAAAAGUUGCUGAACUGUAUGAAAUGUGUAGCCCUCUUUCAACAUCAUUUGCGUAGACAGAGCUCUGUCAAGGAAUGUCUUCUGUGAGUGGAAUCUGUUUUCAGUAAGCGAUGGUGUUUAAGUACAUAACAGGAAACUAAAGACAUUUCUACUUCUUGGAAUCAUAAAAUCUAGUGGACAAACAGGAUUCUGAUUUAUUUGUACUAAUAGGCCCAAUCCUGAAUGGCCUAUGUGGGUAAUUUUUGAGAUGCUUUUCUGACUUGAAAAAAAAACUUAGAGCACCAAUAGGUAUUACUUCCCAAGAUGUGUCAGAUUAUUCAGUACCAUUUGAAUCAAUAUAACUUGUCUCCUUUAUUUUUCCAUUGUUUUAUUUUCCUGCUCGCACACUUCAACUCAAAAUACUGUCUGGAGAGAUUUUACCUCCAGGUAUCUGCUUUGGAUGGUUAUCAGCUGUGAUUACCCAUUGCAGUAGAGAAAUAUUGGGUAACUGCUCCAAAAGGCACUGACAUGUGGUACUUCAGCCUCUGGAUGUAACAGUUGCCAUGGGAAUCUGAAUGUUUAACCCCCAAGUUCCUUGUGAAAGUAUACCUUCCUUGUGGCAAAGGUGUUUCUAUAGCAACAUUUACUGGAGGCCAUAGAACUUACACAGGAUGUGCCAUAAGACUUCUUUUGCACAUUAUCUGUCUUAAAUAUGUCAAUAUGGGUUUAGUUAUAUUAAGCUAGGUAAUGAUGAGGAGAAAUGUUUCCCUAGACUAUCUUCCUGUGACUAGACUCUCCAGCAGUUAUUGAACACAAUUCAUCAGAGUUUUACUUUAUUCAAGAUUUUCAUUCUGUGCUCUUACAUUAUUUCUGAUGGGGUGCACUGCUUUUCAGCAGCAGUCAUUCUCUCAAUAAUAUUGGCCGAUUGUAUUAACUUCAGAUAAAAUGUUAUAUCAGCCUCACUUCUGGUCCUUUAAUAAACCAAAUAGUACUUUUGAUUUCUGAGAUGUCUUAGGAAGCUGAAAAACACCACUAACAUCACUUUGGUAUAUGUAAGGAAGUUACUAGCAAAUAUAAUGGAUUGAGGAGUUAAGUAUGGGUUUUUAUUGUUUCUUUUGAUUCACUAUAGAUCACUGUCACUUCUGAUAAUAGCUUUCACCUUAAAAAAUGAGAUGACACUUCCCAAAUUAAAAUGGGCCAUGUUUCCUUUCUGAGAGUCAUCCAUUGAUGUCGGCUUCCAUUUACAGCUGAGCCUGAGCAGGCAGCGGUGUUCUUGCUUUGUAAUAAAUAAUUUUGGGUUAUCAUCAUUGUUUUAUUACUGUGCUAUCAGCCUUUAUAUUUAUUCCCAUCCAUCAACAAAGGGAUUCUUGUUGCUGCCAGGUAUGUGGGCCCGUUUUGUUUCCCUGCCUGUUUCAAGACACUGGUGUAGGCUUUCAUCAGCCAUUAUUUUGCUAUCAGUAUUGGGACCAGCUACAGUAUGCGUUAUUAUUAAUGUCAAUCAUUUUCUGCUGGUGAGGGUACAAAAGUUAGCUUCAGCCAAGACUGUGCUACUUUUAACCAGAGUCCUAAUCAGAUAAUCUUCAUUGGCCAGGGGAAAGCAUAGAAGAGAAAAUGAGAUGAGCUACAAGAAUUAGGACAAAUAAAGGCAUUUGUGACAAAUUAUCUCAGACUACAAAUAGAGAUUGAUUUGUUUGGGUGAAAAUGAAUUAGUGCUCGGAAACAUAAGUAUCAGACUCAUCAAGUUUAAGGGAAGGGAAGAUAUGUUUAGAACUGGUGUUAGCUUUUCUUCCAGCAUUAACCCUAAGUUGAACAUAGAGUCUGAAAUUAGUAUUGUGGAAGCUUAUUACAUAUUCAGUCUUCUUGAGUAAAGAUCAUCUGUUCUCUCUUGGAAGUUGGAUGAAAUGCACAUUUUCAGAGUGAGAAGCAAACUGAGUCACAGCUCGUAAAAUUACUACUGCUUUCACCUUAUGCUCACUGCCACUAUUGAGUUUGGUACCAGCAACUCUUCUGCUCUCUGCAAAAUUUUAUUCACUAGGUCUACAUGAGACGUGCUCUAUCAGUCUGCUCCAUUAGAAUACUUAGAGCUGUUUGUCAGUAUGUGAUUAAUGCUAAUUUUUAAUUUUUACUAUUAGAAGCACUGAGAGGGGAGAGGAAAAUAUUUCCAUCCAAGACCUGUUGGAACUUGGAGUAGAUCAUUUAAAAGAGCGUGACUUUCUUCUGCUUAAUAACAUAGGACCUGUUCAAUUUAAAGCUUUAAAUGUGAAAAAAUCAUGCACACACUACUCUUCGGUAUUAAAUUUUCUAUUUGGAAAAAUAAGGAAUUCAGUCAAAUAUGGAAGCUAUAUUUCCAGGAGAUUCUCAAUGUGAAGCACCUGAAGUGAUUCAAGUACUUCUUAACAAGCAUUCACUGCAAUGCGUAAGUUAUGUGACCGCACAAAAUCUUUUGAUCCUUAUGUGUACUAUUUGGUGCUCAGUUUCAAAAUGUCUCAAAAUUAGAACAUUUGUUUAUUUAGCUAGAUUAUUAAGCAAUGAGAUUUGCCAAGACUGUAAGCAAGCCAUAAAUGUUUUUCUCUGUGUAUCCUUCCAAGGGCCAAAUCUCACAGACUGCAAGAGUUAACAUAUUAAGCCUGUUUACCUUAAAAAGGAUGAGAAGGGCUUUGUGUUUGUACCUGCUCUCCUUCCUGUAUUUCUUUGGUUAAUUUCCAUCAAUAACUUUAGUUCCUUAAAAUAAAUAAUAUCUGAGUAGUUCUAAAUAAUCAGUUCAACCCUUUUGUAAUUGAAUUGUGCCUUGUCAAAUGAAAUCAGUUAACUCGAGCAUCUUGGAAAAAGUCAAAUAUAUUAAUGCUGGUCUUCACUCCUUCCAUGGGUCUUCUCUUCUGUGACAUGAAGCUGUACGCUGGAUAUAUAGCAGGCUCUCAGGGCACCAUUUAUUUCACUUUGGUUAAGCCUGCUCACUCUCUUGUUUCUGAAUAGCUAACUCUCUGAUACUGCCAUUCCAUGUCCAAGAAUAAAGAUGAGGCACCUUGUUUUCAUCUUGCAGACAGAGAGAAUAUGUCUGCUUCUUCACUUCCUCCUUCUUCUCUCCCUUUACCUUCUGCCUCUAGAAGAAUCUUGGGGUUUUUGUACCUUGAUUCACUGUUCCUACCCAUGCUUGUUCCUGGAGCGCAGUCCUCUGUCUGAAGACAGAAAUCAUGAGAAAGGAUAGCAAGGCAGUUUUUCUUCAUAACUUACAGGAAAAAGAAGUCUUGAUGAUAUAUAUAAUUAUAUAUUUUCCGUUGUGUUAGAAGAGAGAAUGCUAGAAUUAAAUAAAGGGUGUGGUGUGAAAUCUGCAGUUUGGGAACCCUCGCUUGAGAUUGGAUGAACUCUGUGCUCCUAAUAUGUCCUAGGAGCAGUCUUCAUGAAAUGGAGGGACAAAAUGUGUGGUGAUGAGCAGUGUUUCUCCCCUUUCUCCUUAGCUGUUAGCAGGCUUUCCUUGCCCAGUGAAGGGCCUGAACGCAGCUGUCAUUUUUCCUCUGUCACUAAGUAGUCCUGUACCUGAAGAAAUGUGACAACGUAGGGAGGAUGCCACAAGUGCUUUCGGCUGCAGCAUGGAAUCCUGACCUUUCCUAUGGGAUUUAAUUUGGAGUAAGGGUCUAGUUGAAGGGAGAAAAUGCACUUUUUUAUGGCAAAAUUACCAUUUAAUUCUUGUGGAGUUUUUGUGGGAAAUCUCACGCAGUGUCUCCCUGGAGACAGGCAUAACACAAGUAAUUUUUUAGUAAUGAACGUUCCAUAGAGCCAUCCGUAUUUACUGCGUAAUUAAAGUAGAAAUUUUUACUGUAAGUUUAUUUUUGUAUCCUGCAGCAAACUCUAAGAAUUUCUGUCAGCUUCAAAAUCAGUAAGACUUCCUACAAGACUGAAAAUUUCUUUCUUCUUUCCUGCAAAAGGACAGGACUUAGAUAAUAUUUGCCUGAAGAUAACAUUCCUGAUGGGGGAAUGCAUACUUAUACAUUUGUAUCUAAAUAAGAAAGAAUAAAAUUGAAACUGAGAUUUCAGAUAGGCCGAUAUGGGAGAAUGAGCAUUCUUCUUGUUAAGCAUUCAAAAUUUAUAGGACUAAUGUGUAAAAAUGUGAAAUGUAUUGUAGUUAGAAUUUGGCACAUAGUAACUGAUAACAGCAUUGCAAUUUGAUGAUAGAUUUUUCUGUCAACACACUUUUAUUGUGACCAUCCUUUCUUUCAUUCCUAGCUCUCAUUUAUGUGAAAUAAGAGAGUGAUGACACUUAACACUGUUUGUGCAUAUGCAACAAGGAAUUGCUCAUUGGGGUGAAUAUGGGUAUACUUAUACAUACUUAAUAUCUUGGCAAAAUAAUCCUAAGGCCUCCACUAUUUCCAUGGUAGCAGUAUUCUUAUGGUGACAAGACAGAGGCACAGUUCAUCUGUACUAUUCCUCUGGUAAAUCUUCAGUGCGGGACUAAAAAGUUCUCUAGGGACCAG
This 18668-nucleotide long non-coding RNA is filed under the name Gallus gallus (chicken). Lineage: Eukaryota; Metazoa; Chordata; Aves; Galliformes; Phasianidae. The record is from RNAcentral.